This 343-nucleotide unclassified non-coding RNA is filed under the name soil metagenome. RNAcentral describes it as "partial contains 5.8S ribosomal RNA, internal transcribed spacer 2, and large subunit ribosomal RNA". The stretch from base 1 to 120 matches the Rfam family "5.8S ribosomal RNA", at positions 35 to 154 of the family's 154-position model. The record is from RNAcentral.
GAUGAAGAACGCAGCGAAAUGCGAUAAGUAAUGUGAAUUGCAGAAUCCAGUGAAUCAUCGAAUCUUUGAACGCACAUUGCGCCCGCCAGCAUUCUGGCGGGCAUGCCUGUUCGAGCAUCAUUUCAACCCUCGACCUCCCUUUGGGGAAGUCGGCGUUGGGGACCGGCAGCACACCGCCGGCCCUGAAAUGGAGUGGCGGCCCGUCCGCGGCGACCUCUGCGUAGUAAUCCAACUCGCACCGGAACCCCGACGCGGCCACGCCGUAAAACACCCAACUUCUGAACGUUGACCUCGAAUCAGGUAGGACUACCCGCUGAACUUAAGCAUAUCAAUAAGCGGAGGA